Molecule: non-coding RNA, 355 nt
Organism: Peromyscus maniculatus bairdii (prairie deer mouse)
Lineage: Eukaryota; Metazoa; Chordata; Mammalia; Rodentia; Cricetidae
Source: RefSeq, a predicted model, not a curated record
UGAGUAGCCGCACUGGGAGUCAGGGAAAGGAGGGGUUAAGAGGAUGAUUUUUCCCUGGCAAAGCCGGGCAAGUCAGAUGCGUCCGAGACCCUAAGCUGAACCAAAGAGCUGUUUUCGAUUGUGCAGCAAAAGUCUCACUGUGUAGACCAGGCCGACCUCAAACUCACAGAGAUCCACCUGCUUCUGUCUCCUGGAUGUCAAGAUUGCUAGAGGAGCUGGACAGUGUUGAGAGAGGUGGUUCAGAGAGAAGUGCUGAGACAAACUGUCCUUCAGAUGCUGAAGUAAGAGCAGUCCAGAGAGUUCCAGGCCAACCUGGGCUUGAGUGUGAGACCCUGUCUCCGAAAACAAUAGAUAG